Molecule: ribosomal RNA, 253 nt
Filed under: uncultured bacterium
Lineage: Bacteria
Description: partial 16S ribosomal RNA
Rfam family: Bacterial small subunit ribosomal RNA
Source: RNAcentral
UACGUAGGGUGCGAGCGUUAAUCGGAAUUACUGGGCGUAAAGCGUGCGCAGGCGGUGAUGUAAGACAGUUGUGAAAUCCCCGGGCUCAACCUGGGAACUGCAUCUGUGAUUGCAUCGCUGGAGUGCGGCAGAGGGGGAUGGAAUUCCGCGUGUAGCAGUGAAAUGCGUAGAUAUGCGGAGGAACACCAGUGGCGAAGGCGACUACCUGGCCUGUUCUUGACGCUGAGGCGCGAAAGCUAGGGGAGCAAACGGG